AGAACGAACGCUGGCGGCAGGCCUAAUACAUGCAAGUCGAACGCACUCUUCGGAGUGAGUGGCAGACGGGUGAGUAACGCGUGGGAACCUUCCCAAUGGUACGGAAUAACUCCGGGAAACCGGUGCUAAUACCGUAUAAGCCCCUCGGGGGAAAGAUUUAUCGCCAUUGGAUGGGCCCGCGUCGGAUUAGCUAGUUGGUAAGGUAAUGGCUUACCAAGGCUACGAUCCGUAGCUGGUCUGAGAGGAUGAUCAGCCACACUGGGACUGAGACACGGCCCAGACUCCUACGGGAGGCAGCAGUAGGGAAUCUUGGACAAUGGGCGAAAGCCUGAUCCAGCCAUGCCGCGUGAGUGAAGAAGGCCUUAGGGUUGUAAAGCUCUUUUGGCGGGACGAUAAUGACGGUACCCGCAGAAUAAGCCCGCUAACUCGUGCCAGCAGCCGC
Molecule: ribosomal RNA, 442 nt
Filed under: uncultured soil bacterium
Lineage: Bacteria
Description: bacterial SSU rRNA
Rfam family: Bacterial small subunit ribosomal RNA
Source: RNAcentral